RNAcentral lists this ribosomal RNA (468 nucleotides) under uncultured bacterium. RNAcentral describes it as "partial 16S ribosomal RNA". It matches the Rfam family "Bacterial small subunit ribosomal RNA", at positions 28 to 507 of the family's 1533-position model. The record is from RNAcentral.
GACGAACGCUGGCGGCGUGCUUAACACAUGCAAGUCGAACGGAAAGGUUAUGCUGUUGUUGGCUGCUCGAGUGGCGAACGGGUGCGUAACGGGGGGGUAACCUUCCCUAGACUUCGGGAUAACGUCAGGAAACUGGGGCUAAUACUAGCUAGGAGCUCCUGCUGCAUGGUAUGGGAUGGAAAGUUUCGGCGGGUGGGUAUGGAAUCGCGGCUUGUCAGCUUGUUGGUGGGGUAGUGGCUUACCAAGGCUUUGACGGGUAGCCGGCCUGAGAGGGUGACCGGCCACAUUGGGACUGAGAUACGGCCCAGACUCCUACGGGGGGCAGCGGUGGGAAAUAUUGCACAAUGGGCGGAGGCCGGAUGCAACAACGCCGGGUGCGGGAUGACGGCUGUCAGGUUGUAAACCGCUUUCGCCUGGGAAGAAGAGUGAGUGACGGUAAUGGGUAAAGAAGCAACGGCUAACUACGUG